This is a long non-coding RNA of Esox lucius (northern pike), 4908 nucleotides long. NCBI's taxonomy places the organism in Eukaryota, Metazoa, Chordata, Actinopteri, Esociformes, Esocidae. The record is from Ensembl.
AUAAAAUGCAUUUUCAAAUCUUUUUUGUAAUGAACUAUGAUUUAUUUCUAAUGUUAGAUUUUUCUAAAGAAAAACAACAAAACUAAAAGAAAAACGUUUUAAUCCAUGGACCUACCAGAAGAGGGCAUGAUGGGAUUGCAGUAAAUAGCAUGCCUUGACUUCUCAGUGGAAUUAUUCUGCCCCAGAACUGCCUAUAGUCUUGUGUUUGGGUAUUGCUCAAAUGUUUAAACGUCAGAGAACACUGAAAGCAGUUGAAAGCUGGAAAUCAGACAAACAUGAGACAGAUUGGUUUUAUGUAGAUCUGAUAUUUAAAUCCUUUGCAUAGUGUUAUCUGUGGGUAGAGCAAAAAGUUGUGAGAGUAUCUGAUCAGUCAAAACUAAAUAAAUAAGUUGACGCAGCCCUGCUGCUAAAUUAUGAUAAAUUUAAAACAAAUCGGAUUCUUUCAGUUAUUACAGUUAUGUCCUAUAUGUCUCUGGGGAUAUGUCUUAUUAUAUGUCUAAUUUUAUGUCUCAUUUGUCUCUGGGGAUAUGUCUAUUUACAUAUUAUAUGUCUCUGGAUAUGUCUAAUUACAUGUCUCAUAUGUCUCUGGGAAUAUGUCUAAUUACAUGUCUCAUAUGUCUCUGGGGAUAUGUCUCAUUUUAUGUCUCAUAUGUCUCUGGGGAUAUGUCUAAUUACAUGUCUCAUGUCUCUGAGGAUAUAUCUUAUUAUGUGUCUCAUAUGUCUCUGGGGAUAUGUCUAAUUACAUGUCUCAUGUCUCUGAGGAUAUGGACAAAAUCUCCUUUUUACGGCGUCAUCAGGAUGUUAUCAGGAUGAACUACCCUGCUCAGGAACAGAACAACAGAUUUUGCUCAGGCUUUCAAUCCUGAAACAUUUUUGUUUUUCAGAUCAGAUGUUGUAUCUGCUUCAUACGGUAUUUUCAGUUCUAUUUUAACCAUCCCAAAAUGCACCAUCAAGUAGAAAGAUUGGUAGAAAGUGCUUUUCUGAUAAAAAAAUAAUCGUGCUUACACUUGAAGGUAAUAUCAUGGUGACAUUAUAGCUCUGCUAUAGGAACAGAGACUAUGCCAAUGCAAAGAUGUACAUAAUUUAAUCUCACAGUUAUGUUGUUCCAAACUGUACAUAUGUGUCAAAUGCACUCUUUAGAUAUAAAUAUGUUCUUGACAAUAAUUACGAUGGGUCAGUUUGACACAAGUGUGGUAAUUAUAGUUUUAGCUAUCUAAGUCAUUCAUUUGUCCUAGUUUUUAUUUCACCUGGCCCCCACUCUAAAAAUGACUUUGUCAACCAUUUUGAACAGAUGGUUGAUGACAUCCGCCAUUUCAUUCACUCAACCUAUGGGGACCACUGGUCCAUCACACACCAGACUUGUCCUUGCAUUAAUCACUUUUCCCCGGUCUGUCCAGAAGAAAUCCUGUAACAAAUGAUGUCCGGUCGCUUGAAAUCUGCUCCGUUGACCCGAUCCUCCCUUUUCUAAAUCCUCUCUGGAGGCCACCGAUUCCUCACCUCCCCAAUGAACUCAUCCUUGUCUGGUGGAUACAUCCCCUCUGACAUCAAGAGGGCCAUAGUUGCCAUUCAAAGAAACAACAUUCAAACUCUGUGAUGUCAAAAAUUACAUAUGUUGCACAUACACAGCUUGCAGUUAGCAAAAUGCAAUUGAAUGUGCAUGAUAUAAAAUGUUCAUGAAAUUAAUUAUCUUAUUAUUGAAUUAUAUUAUUUAAUUAUUAUUAAGUACCUUCAGGCUAUGGGUUCCAUAUUUUAACAUGCAGCAUUUCUUUGAUAUUCAGCCAACACUCUUAUCCGGCAUUAUUUUACAUUUGUUUUAUCUUUGCUUAUUUAUUGCAUGAAUAUGACUGGUUUAAAUAAUGUUUGAAUGAAUAUUAAAUAAACAAUUAUAAAUCAUUGUCUGGCAAAGAGGCCAAAAUAAAUUGGCUGCAGGCCAUUGCCUCCCUGUAGAGAAAUGUGACUGCUCUGGUUUGUGAGAAGACAUCUUUCAUAUAACUAUAUUUAUAUGUUAAAAACAUUAUUUUCAUUUUGGAAAAUAAAAGCUGUUGUAUGACUAAACUGCAGUUGGAAUUGUGUUGAGUAAUGAUCCAGAUGAAGGCAGCAACUGUUUAUUCAGUCUGUUUCAUUAACCUUAGUCAGCAUUCCUUUGUCCACGGGAAUAAGCCCCUGGACAGGAGUUGUAACUAUCAUGACCACAUGCCAUCAAUAUGGUGGCUUUUUUCACCGUUAUUCUUCCUUUAGGUAUUGCCUUUAAUUUAUCUGGACACCAGAGGAAUUUUUAAAACAACCUCUGAGGAAUUGAGGAAUGCCUAAGUUUGUAUAUAUCAAAGUUUAUAUGUCAGCAUGUGUGUGUUUUCAACACCCAUCUCAUCUCUGCCUCUGUUGUGUACAGCUAGGGUGGCCUGUCAGUCAAUGCUGAGACAAGGUUUUAAGCAUGCAGGUAGCCUGUAUGUAGAGCCACAGGGUUCGUAACACAAGACUAGAAUCUGAUGCCCGAGCAUCCCUCCUUACUCAGGGCUAUGGCACCAACACACUACAACCACAACAGGGACAGUCCCUUCACCACACCACCCUAGUCCUUCCUGGCGUUCAAACAACAACACCACCCUAGUCCUUCCUGGCGUUCACACAACAACACCACCCUAGUCCCUCCUGGCCUGUGUGUGUGUGUGUGUGUGCAUGCACUGUGCACUGUCCACAUACGUUGAUGUGGGGAAAAGAAAAGGAGCAGAAUCAAGUGAAAAAAACCUUUCUAAUCAAUUGGUAGGAAGAGUAGCAACGCACGCGUUGCUUUAUGGAGGCAAGAUGGCUGCUGAUAAUAACACGGAACUGAUAUUCCACUAAAUCCUUUUCAGCUGAACUAGACCCUCAGGCUCCCUAACUAUGAAACUGGCUGAGAUGGAAGAUGACAUGGCUAUUUGUAAUGUAAUCUGUCAAUCCUGACAUCACUGGGCUCUUUAAUCAGCUGCCGUAUGGCAGGUGAACAACAGAGAGCGAUGAGUCAGCAUCAGUCAGGUGACGUGGACCCCCCUUGGCGGCCCUGGGACUUCCUGACACCCACUUUCCUCUGUCCGGCCUCCCGCCUUGUCUCCCUGGCACUCAGUUCUCUGGCCCAGGGCGUAAAUCUGACAACACAGCCUGUGUGUGUCUCAUAAUGGAAGCUGAACACGGGCCCUUUAUGCUGUUUCUGGUGUUUUCCCCUGCUCCCGCCUGUGUGUACAUGUCUCUGGGGGUGGGAGCAAGGAAGGAGAAGUGUAAGUGGGUUCUGAAGGGCUGUGGCCCCUGACCAAGCAAAGGUCCAGUUGCAGGCAGAGAUAAGAUAGGGAUGUGGGUCUCCUUUGAUAAGAGUGGUGAGCUGUGAGAAAACAAGGACAGCCUGAAAGCACAUCCCAGCACGCGCUGCUCUGCUGUUCAUUCCGCUUCCCAGACACAUUGACUCUUAGCAACAGCUCCUUCUGUUAUCCAAAGGGAUCUGCACAAACACUUCGGACAGAUUUGGAAAAUAAACUCCCAGACUCAUUGAGCGGCAGAUACUUUUUUUGCCAUGUGUCUUAUUUUUUUGUGGCAGACAUGCCUUUGGCAGAGAAAAAAAAUACGACCCAUCUUCCUAUAUAUUUAAAUCCUAGUUAAAAGGUAUUCCAUUCUCCUUCACAUCUCCUUUAACACUGGAUUUACUUAAGGAAAGGCACAUGUUAAUAGGUGGCCUAGGUAAGUCAUGUCAUGGAUAUUUUUCCUCCCUAUCUUUCGGUUGUUCAUCAAGACAGGCCGGUGACAUCACAUAAAGUGUGCUGUAUUCUUACUUGAAUCAUUGUUAUUCUGCAGAAAUAAAAGUAAAUGUGCUUCAAUCAUCACUCUCGUUAAAUAGAGAAGUCAGGAAAAAGAGCCAAAGCAUCAAGUAAGAUGUGUAUAUUAUCUGUGUAUAUCAUCAUCACGUCUCGGAGUCAUUACGUGACAGCACAAAUUUACAAACUAAACAGGAACAUGAUAAUGAAUGUCUGCACCUUUGUCUGACCCAGUCAUAUUACCCUGCUCUCCCCAGAGGCUUCUUAUCUCCUUUCUUCUCCUCUUUCUGUUAGUGCUUGUGUUGCCACUUGUCAAGACUCCUGGGACCUCAUGAAUCUCAUUCCACUCUCCCCUUGGUCCUUGCUUGCGUGUACAGUAUGUGUGUGUAUGUAUGUCUGUGCAUGAGUGUGUGUGCGUGAAGGGGAGGAUCCUGCUGUAUAAGACAGGAGUCAUGUUAGUAAUGCCCUCCGCUUGAUCAUAUUCCUUUAUGUAAUCUGACACUUCACAGGGAUUACACAGUGUCAGAUGUUAAAGUGGAUUAGGAUUAGGUAAAAACCCCAUAAGAUCCCAGGAAGGAUCCCAGAAAAUAAACAAACUGCUUUUCAGAUUGUCACCCAAAACACACUAAUCAGAUGAGAAUGCAUCUUGUUUGGAGUGACUGAUAUAAUGCUCCAAUACUCCAAUACGUUGUAUUUACAAUAUCUGCAAAAGGUAAAGUUAAAAAAACACAACUUUUAUUAUAAAGAUGAAUAUACUUCUAUAAACUGGUUACCAACGCAAUUGGAACAUGGCUUUCAGCCAAUCAACACACAGGAUUACAACCACCUGGUUUACAAUUCAGUAUAUGCACUCACUCAGCAUCAGAUAUACAGACACCGCUCCACAGCAAGCCUGCAAUCUGUGAAUGAUGUCAGUAGAGGCUUCUCUCUGGCUCGUCUACAGAGUAGAGAAGUAAAAAAGAAAACCCAGUCUGACAGGUCUGGGCAUUCUCUCAAUGGUCUUCGAAAUAGGAAACACAAUCUCAGCGAGCAAAGUAAAUAACAAUGGCUACCCAUUGUGGACCUUGGAGUAGACACUGACAUAUUUGGCAGAUUUGAAAUAGUAGGUCUGUAUUACAGUGUUGAAAAU